Long non-coding RNA from Gasterosteus aculeatus aculeatus (three-spined stickleback), 403 nucleotides. RefSeq lists it as uncharacterized. The record is from RefSeq and is a predicted model, not a curated record. NCBI's taxonomy places the organism in Eukaryota, Metazoa, Chordata, Actinopteri, Perciformes, Gasterosteidae.
CACAUGAAAGGUUUGCAACAUCUCAGGUGUGAAGUGGACAAAUUCAUAAAAACUGCAAUUGAUUGGAACAUCACGAGCACAGAGAGAGGGGAAUUUGCACAUUUUCCAUUCAUAUUCCAUCGACUUCUGUAUUACGAAGAAAAGGAAUGGAUGUCGGAUGGACUAUAUCAGUUCUCAUGCUUGUAAUAGGAGCUGGAGCAGUGACAACAGCUGCUGCACCUACAACUGCUCCAGCUGUGACAAACAAGACAAAAACUGCUGUAGUUAUACAUGCUGUACCAUUAUGUAAUGGACUUGCAACCACAGUUGCACCCACAACAGCAGCGCCUGCCACUGAAGCUCCCCGAAGAGUCGUUGUCCUCUCAGCUACUUUGCAACAAGCAUUCGUAAAACAACUCAAUGA